This 490-nucleotide ribosomal RNA is filed under the name uncultured bacterium. RNAcentral describes it as "partial 16S ribosomal RNA". It matches the Rfam family "Bacterial small subunit ribosomal RNA", at positions 30 to 507 of the family's 1533-position model. The record is from RNAcentral.
AUUGAACGCUGGCGGCAGGCCUAACACAUGCAAGUCGAAUGGUAACAGGAAACAGCUUGCUGUUUCUCUGACGAGUGGCGGACGCGUGAGUAAUGUCUGGGAAACUGCCUGAUGGAGGGGGAUAACUACUGGAAACGGUAGCUACUACCGCAUAACGUCGCAAGACCAAAGAGGGGGACCUUCGGGCCGCUUGCCAUCAGAUGUGCCCAGAUGGGAUUAGCUAGUAGGUGGGGUAACGGCUCACCUAGGCGACGAUCCCUAGCUGGUCUGAGAGGAUGACCAGCCACACUGGAACUGAGACACGGUCCAGACUCCUACGGGAGGCAGCAGUGGGGAAUAUUGCACAAUGGGCGCAAGCCUGAUGCAGCCAUGCCGCGUGUAUGAAGAAGGCCUUCGGGUUGUAAAGUACUUUCAGCGGGGAGGAAGGGAGUAAAGUUAAUACCUUUGCUCAUUGACGUUACCCGCAGAAGAAGCACCGGCUAACUCCGUG